AUGGCUCCCAGAUCGGAGCACGCCGGCGGGAGCGCCUCGGCGGCAGCGGCGGCGGCGGCGGCGGCGGCGGCCGCCCAGAGCCACGGAUCCGGGUUCGACUCCAUGGACCCCUUCUUCCACGCGCUCCGCGUGGUCCCCUUCGCCUUCCUCCAGCCGCCGCGCACCCGCCUGAAGCUGCCGUCCAACCUGGCGCUCCCGUCCCCGAUGGUCGUCUUCUCGCUCAUCCUGCUCACCUACUUCGCCGUCGUCUCCGGCCUCGUCUACGACGUCAUCGUCGAGCCCCCCGGCAUCGGCAGCUCCCAGGACCCGGCCACCGGCGCCGUCCGCCCCGUCGUCUUCCUCCCCGGCCGCGUCAACGGCCAGUACAUCAUCGAGGGCCUCUCCUCCGGCUUCAUGUUCCUCCUCGGGGGCGUCGGGGUCAUCCUCCUCGACCUGGCGGUCGACCGCACCAGGCCCCGCAGCCUGCGCGUCUCCUUCGGCGGCGCCGGCGUCGCCGCCAUCGUCAUCGCCUACGCCAUGGCCAUGCUCUUCCUCCGCAUCAAGAUACCCGGAUACUUAUGGUGA
This 564-nucleotide ribosomal RNA is filed under the name Triticum aestivum (bread wheat). Its description in RNAcentral is "partial small subunit ribosomal RNA". The record is from RNAcentral. Lineage: Eukaryota; Viridiplantae; Streptophyta; Magnoliopsida; Poales; Poaceae.